Molecule: ribosomal RNA, 531 nt
Filed under: uncultured bacterium
Lineage: Bacteria
Description: bacterial SSU rRNA
Rfam family: Bacterial small subunit ribosomal RNA
Source: RNAcentral
UAGGGGGCGGUGAGGUAUUUUAUAUUGGCAGAAGGAGGGAAUCCAGCCAUGGCGCGCACACGAAGACUACCCUUUCGGUUGUAAAUAAAAUUUUUAAGGGAGAACACCCCCUUCCGUGGGGGAUUGACGGUGGGUUCCCAAUAAGGAAAGCCCAACUAAUUUUCAGCAGCCGCGGUAAUUAUUAGGGUGCGAGCGUUAUCUGUUAUCAUUUUGUUUAAAGAGUCCGUAGGUGGGCGGUUAAUUAAGUGGUGAAAGUAUUCAGCUCAACCAUAGAAGGGCCAUUGUUUUUAAUUGUCUAGAAUUAGUUUGAAGAGGGUAGAAUAAAUUGUGUAGCGGUGAAAUAAAUAGAUAUAAUUUUGAAUAACAACCGCGAAGGCAGGUCACUAACUGCAUUUUUACUUUGAUGGAGGAAAGAAAGGGGGGGGAACAAAAUUAGAUAACUUCCUAGUUCUCCCCGUCCACAAUGGAUACGAGCUGUCCGUCGUGCAUUGGCAGGCUGGGUGGCCAAGCGAAAGCGUUAAGUAUACCACC